RNAcentral lists this ribosomal RNA (407 nucleotides) under uncultured bacterium. RNAcentral's name for it is "partial 16S ribosomal RNA". It matches the Rfam family "Bacterial small subunit ribosomal RNA", at positions 30 to 526 of the family's 1533-position model. The record is from RNAcentral.
AUUGAACGCUGGCGGCAGGCCUAACACAUGCAAGUCGAGCGGCGCGGCGGCCGGGUACGUAAUGCCUAGGAAUCUGCCUGGUAGUGGGGGAUAACGUCAGGAAACGGGAGCUAAUACCGCAUCCUCUCAGAUUCGCAUAGGCCGGAUUAGCUUGUUGGUGUGGUAAAGGCCUACAAAGGCGACGAUCCGUAACUGGUCUGAGAGGAUGAUCAGUCACACUGGAACUGAGACACGGUCCAGACUCCUACGGGCGGCAGCAGUGGGGAAUAUUGGACAAUGGGCGAAAGCCUGAUCCAGCCAUGCCGCGUGUGUGAAGAAGGUCUUCGGAUUGUAAAGUACUUUAAGUUGGGAGGCGUUACCAACAGAAGAAGCACCGGCUAACUUCGUGCCAGCAGCCGCGGUAAUUC